This 520-nucleotide ribosomal RNA is filed under the name uncultured bacterium. RNAcentral describes it as "partial 16S ribosomal RNA". It matches the Rfam family "Bacterial small subunit ribosomal RNA", at positions 28 to 523 of the family's 1533-position model. The record is from RNAcentral.
GACGAACGCUGGCGGCGUGCCUAAUACAUGCAAGUUGAACGCCUCUUUCUUAUCGAACUUCGGUUCACCAAGAAAGAAGAGUAGCGAACGGGUGAGUAACACGUGGGUAACCUGCCAUCAGCGGGGGAUAACACUUGGAAACAGGUGCUAAUACCGCAUAAUACUUUUUCUCUCAUGAGUGAAAGUUGAAAGGCGCUUUUGCGUCACUGAUGGAUGGACCCGCGGUGCAUUAGCUAGUUGGUAGGGUAACGGCCUACCAAGGCAACGAUGCAUAGCCGACCUGAGAGGGUGAUCGGCCACACUGGGACUGAGACACGGCCCAGACUCCUACGGGAGGCAGCAGUAGGGAAUCUUCGGCAAUGGACGAAAGUCUGACCGAGCAACGCCGCGUGAGUGAAGAAGGUUUUCGGAUCGUAAAACUCUGUUGUUAGAGAAGAACAAGGAUGAGAAGAGAAUGUUCAUCCCUUGACGGUAUCUAACCAGAAAGCCACGGCUAACUACGUGCCAGCCGCCGCCGUAA